AGAGUUUGAUCCUGGCUCAGAUUGAACGCUGGCGGCAUGCCUUACACAUGCAAGUCGAACGGCAGCACGGGAGCAAUCCUGGUGGCGAGUGGCGAACGGGUGAGUAAUAUAUCGGAACGUGCCCAGUCGUGGGGGAUAACGCAGCGAAAGCUGUGCUAAUACCGCAUACGAUCUCUGGAUGAAAGCGGGGGACUCGCAAGRGCCUCGCGCGAUUGGAGCGGCCGAUAUCAGAUUAGCUAGUUGGYGGGGUAAAAGCYCACCAAGGCGACGAUCUGUAGCUGGUCUGAGAGGACGACCAGCCACACUGGAACUGAGACACGGUCCAGACUCCUACGGGAGGCAGCAGUGGGGAAUUUUGGACAAUGGGCGCAAGCCUGAUCCAGCAAUGCCGCGUGCAGGAUGAAGGCCUUCGGGUUGUAAACUGCUUUUGUACGGAACGAAACGGUUCUCUUUUAAUAAAGAGGGCUAAUGACGGUACCGUAAGAAUAAGCACCGGCUAACUACGUGCCAGCAGCCGCGGUAAUA
RNAcentral lists this ribosomal RNA (525 nucleotides) under uncultured bacterium. Its description in RNAcentral is "bacterial SSU rRNA". It matches the Rfam family "Bacterial small subunit ribosomal RNA", at positions 8 to 525 of the family's 1533-position model. The record is from RNAcentral.